This 432-nucleotide small RNA is filed under the name Arabidopsis thaliana (thale cress). RNAcentral describes it as "putative long intergenic non-coding RNA". The record is from RNAcentral. Lineage: Eukaryota; Viridiplantae; Streptophyta; Magnoliopsida; Brassicales; Brassicaceae.
AUCCAACGCUUCUUCUUCACCUGAAAUUUUGCUUGGAUUCUCUUCGUUUAAAAACAAUACCAGACUAACUUUUUUCUGAUGAAAUCAAUAAUCGAUCUUGGAUGCAAGUAUAAAGAGACUUUCCUCAUCCUUCGUUCAGUUUAUUGAUUUCCUGUGAAUACACACAACAUGGAUGGGAAGAAGAAGAAGAAUAAGUGAAAAGAUCUAGUUUUGUUGAGGAAGAAGCUGAUAAGAAGUAUCAUCAUUGGCUUGAUAGCAUGAAGAAGAGGGAAAUCGGCAGUUAUUAAAGGUAGUGGUGGUGGUGAAAGAGCUAAUUCUUGGACGAGGAGUGGUGUUGCGGCAACAUGAGAUUUUUGUUAGUUUUUUUGAGUAGAUUUUUAUGAUAUUAUGGGUUUGUGUUUCUUCAGCUAUGAGAUUAUUAUGAGAUUAUGG